RNAcentral lists this ribosomal RNA (465 nucleotides) under Vreelandella stevensii. RNAcentral's name for it is "partial 16S ribosomal RNA". It matches the Rfam family "Bacterial small subunit ribosomal RNA", at positions 338 to 795 of the family's 1533-position model. Lineage: Bacteria; Pseudomonadati; Pseudomonadota; Gammaproteobacteria; Oceanospirillales; Halomonadaceae. The record is from RNAcentral.
CCUACGGGGUGCUGCAGUGGGGAAUAUUGGACAAUGGGCGAAAGCCUGAUCCAGCCAUGCCGCGUGUGUGAAGAAGGCCUUCGGGUUGUAAAGCACUUUCAGUGGGGAAGAAAGCCUUGGGGCUAAUACCCUCGAGGAAGGACAUCACCCACAGAAGAAGCACCGGCUAACUCCGUGCCAGCAGCCGCGGUAAUACGGAGGGUGCGAGCGUUAAUCGGAAUUACUGGGCGUAAAGCGCGCGUAGGCGGUCUGAUAAGCCGGUUGUGAAAGCCCCGGGCUCAACCUGGGAACGGCAUCCGGAACUGUCAGGCUAGAGUGCAGGAGAGGAAGGUAGAAUUCCCGGUGUAGCGGUGAAAUGCGUAGAGAUCGGGAGGAAUACCAGUGGCGAAGGCGGCCUUCUGGACUGAAACUGACGCUGAGGUGCGAAAGCGUGGGUAGCAAACAGGAUUAGAUACCCGGGUAGUC